This 513-nucleotide ribosomal RNA is filed under the name uncultured bacterium. RNAcentral describes it as "bacterial SSU rRNA". It matches the Rfam family "Bacterial small subunit ribosomal RNA", at positions 1 to 518 of the family's 1533-position model. The record is from RNAcentral.
AGAAUUGAUCUGGUCAGGAUGAACGCUAGCGGCAGGCUUAACACAUGCAAGUCGAGGGGCAGCGGGUGUAGCAAUACAUGCCGGCGACCGGCGAAAGGGUGAGUAACGCGUGAGCAACGUGCCCGUAUGUGGGGGAUAGUCGAUGGAAACGUCGCGUAAUACCCCGUAACACAUGGUCUCGCAUGGGACUGUGUUGAAAGAUUUAUUGUAUACGGAUCGGCUCGCGUGCCAUUAGGUAGACGGCGGGGUAACGGCCCACCGUGCCGACGAUGGCUAGGGGUUCUGAGAGGAAGGUCCCCCACAUUGGAACUGAGACACGGUCCAGACUCCUACGGGAGGCAGCAGUGAGGAAUAUUGGACAAUGGCCGGAAGGCUGAUCCAGCCAUGCCGCGUGCGGGACGAACCGGCCCUAUGGGUUGUAAACCGCUUUUGCGAGGGAGCAAUAAGAGCCACGUGUGACUCGAUGAGAGUACCUCGCGAAUAAGCAUCGGCUAACUCCGUGCCAGCCGCAGC